GUAUUUAUUUUGUAGGCAAUGAAGCCCAUUGAUUUCAUUCAUUCACAUACAAAGGGGUAUAUUAAAAACAUAGACUGGAAAAAGCGAGGAGAGCUGCUGGGCUUUUUGAUGCACAACAGCAAGCCUCCGACCGAGUUUCCUCGAAAGUUAUCCAAAGUCUACAGAAGGUGCACAGGUGGAAAAAAGUAAAAGAUGGAAGAGUGUGCACAUGCUCCAAGAAGCCAGCGACAACCCCCCAAGUUUAUUCAAUAAUGAUCCUUCCGCAGGUUCACCUACGGAAA
RNAcentral lists this unclassified non-coding RNA (281 nucleotides) under uncultured fungus. RNAcentral describes it as "sequence contains ITS1". The record is from RNAcentral. Lineage: Eukaryota; Fungi.